GACGAACGCUGGCGGCGUGCCUAAUACAUGCAAGUCGAGCGAAUCGAUGGGAGCUUGCUCCCUGAGAUUAGCGGCGGACGGGUGAGUAACACGUGGGUAACCUGCCUGUAAGACUGGGAUAACUUCGGGAAACCGGAGCUAAUACCGGAUAAUUUCUUUUCUCGCAUGAGAGAAGAUGGAAAGAUGGCAUCUCGCUAUCACUUACAGAUGGACCCGCGGCGCAUUAGCUAGUUGGUGAGGUAACGGCUCACCAAGGCGACGAUGCGUAGCCGACCUGAGAGGGUGAUCGGCCACACUGGGACUGAGACACGGCCCAGACUCCUACGGGAGGCGGCAGUAGGGAAUCUUCCGCAAUGGACGAAAGUCUGACGGAGCAACGCCGCGUGAGCGAAGAAGGCCUUCGGGUCGUAAAGCUCUGUUGUUAGGGAAGAACAAGUACGAGAGUAACUGCUCGUACCUUGACGGUACCUAACCAGAAAGCCACGGCUAACUACGUGCCAGCAGCCGCAGUAA
Molecule: ribosomal RNA, 513 nt
Filed under: uncultured bacterium
Lineage: Bacteria
Description: partial 16S ribosomal RNA
Rfam family: Bacterial small subunit ribosomal RNA
Source: RNAcentral